UACGGAGGGUGCUAGCGUUGUUCGGAAUUACUGGGCGUAAAGCGCGCGCAGGCGGUCACCAGCAUCGGUGGUGAAAGCCCCCCGCUCAACGGGGGAGGGUCCAUCGAGAUGGGGUGACUGGAGGCAGGGAGAGGCCAGUGGAAUUCCGGGUGUAGUGGUGAAAUGCGUAGAGAUCCGGAGGAACACCAGUGGCGAAGGCGGCUGGCUGGACCUGACCUGACGCUGAGGCGCGAAGGCGUGGGGAGCGAACGGG
This 253-nucleotide ribosomal RNA is filed under the name uncultured bacterium. Its description in RNAcentral is "partial 16S ribosomal RNA". It matches the Rfam family "Bacterial small subunit ribosomal RNA", at positions 524 to 776 of the family's 1533-position model. The record is from RNAcentral.